This 3234-nucleotide long non-coding RNA is filed under the name Triticum aestivum (bread wheat). Its description in RNAcentral is "long non-coding RNA (TAES_LNC020404)". Lineage: Eukaryota; Viridiplantae; Streptophyta; Magnoliopsida; Poales; Poaceae. The record is from RNAcentral.
CUCCCUGUAUGCCUCCUCGAUCUGCUAGGCCAGUCAACAACGAUGUAGGGUUAGCAGGGCUCGACGAGAAGCUACGCAAUGGAGAAGGCUAGCUUGUCAAUCUUGAUAGUGCCGCUGCCGUCGGCAUCCUUGGUGGCGACGUGGGCGUGGAUCUCGUCUCCCCCAUCCUGCUUGAAUCCACCUCGAUUGUGAGGAUGUUGGUGGUGUUGUCUUCGACAGUGGAAGCCUGACUUCGACGGCUCAUUCUUCACCUGCAGGUCCCCCCUUCUUCCUUUCCUGCCUAUCUCAUACUCGUAUUGUUUUCUUGUUUCUUAUCAUUUCUCUACAUAUGUAUGGCUAAAGCAAUAUAAUGUACAUGAAGGUACGACUUGUUAGUGAAAUAUGUAAAUCUAUUUAUGGCCCCAUACACAUUUUCGUAUACUUGGGACUGGUAUAUGAAGUGUUAGGCCCCCAGCCCCCAUUCAUAUUAAAAACAUCUAAGAAAUUAAUUAGUUCAUUUGUAAUUAGCUUUAGUUUUACUCCCUCCAUUUUUAUACAAGGCCACUAUGGAAUAUACAUUUUGCAUCUAUACAAGACCACCAACAGUAAUCGAGGCAAAAUUAAUGAUAUUUUUUCGUACUAGCAACAUGUUUAAUUGUUGCAUGCAUGCAGUCAUAAUGAUAGUCAGCUACUUCCUCCACUCAGUUUUCUUGCAUGCAUGUGGGGUAUUAGUGAUCCCAGUAAACGAAUAGAAAAGCGGACUUUCAAAACAGACAUUAAAUUUUACAUUGGUGCCUGUAAUUUGAGUUUGUGGCCCUGUAUAUAAAAAUGGAGGGAGUACUAUUUUCCAAAUAUAGAAUUAAUUUUAAAAAGUGAAUAUGAAAAUGGGUGCUAUUACAUUUUACAUAUGAACCAUAACAAUCCAUGGAUGUUGUCAGUUGUCACUAUUGUCAUACUACCUCCAUUUCAAUAUAUAAAACAUUUUGGUAGGCCAUUUUAUCCUACCAAAACAUCUUAUAUUUUGGAAUGGAGGUAGUACAAUAGAAUUUGCUUCAAAUGUUAGAUAAUAUAUAGUGUCGACUUAUUGGUAUUAUUGAUACAUUUCCAUCGAAUGUUGAUGCAUGUUACCAAUGCUUCUGCGAGUAGUAGAUCAUAUCCGUUCUGCCAUAUCAUAUUUGCAUAGAAAAUUCAAUUUUAUUUUGAGGAUAGUUUGCAGUUUACUAAUUUUCCAUCUACUUAUGGUUAUCUAAAACGGCUAGUAGCAUAUGUACGCGAGUUUUUAGUUCCUACCUUUUGAAUAUUUUUGUGUUGACUAUGUUCUUGACCAUAUUUCCUCGUUGUUAGUUCAUUUGCUAUAGAAAAGAAAAUAACCGGUGUGAUCAAGUCAGCAUGGUACUACUUGCAAGUGUUUUGAGUACCCCUUUCUCUUGUGUCUCAUGAACUCCUUGAGCUUUAUGUGGAACACUCAGUCAACAAUAUCAGGUCUUUCUGAUGCAGCUUGGCCUACUUCCUGUAGCAUAUAGACUGUAUCUCCGGCCAAGCUGCGUUGAACAUGAAAGUCACAAAUUGGUCUACAUAUCCAACUCACUGACAUAUUGGCAUAGCAUCUUGGUAGUUUUGCGCUUUGUAUCUUGGGAUAUCUAUGAAGCUGGAUGGCACAUGGCAGCAUGGUUUAUAAGGUGGUAAAGCAACCUAAAGUGAGCACCAUCCUCUCUGAUGCUUAAGCGACGCCUAAGUGCCUAAAGAAGGUAUAUUUCUAAGGCGCUGCCAGGGCGCCUUGGCGCUUAAGCGAUGUUGAAGCGUCUGAAGCAGGGCACUUUAUAAAUAGAGCAUGGAAGUAGUAUUCUCUUUCGUACCUGUUCAUCCCUUGUGUCUCCUCUUUCAAUUGCCUCUUGCAAGCCACCGGUGUCCUUGGUGUCUUUUGAUCCAGUCCAGUUUGUACUGUAAAAUACAUGCAAGGGCAUCCCCAUUUAACUGCAGUUUAAGCUUUUCAUACACUAGGAAGUGUUUCGAUUGGUUAGUAUGGUGUUGUAUAUGACUCAUAGUAUUCCAACACUGUUACAUGCUUUCUCUUGCAUUUUGCACCUUCUUUUAAUAUAUCUUGUAUAUUUCCUCUGUACCCAUCUUUUUUGUAGGGGAAUAAUAAUGGAUACUGCAUAGCCAUGAAUUAUGAAUGUUCUUUGAUAUUCUUCUCGGCCUAAUGGCCUUCUACUGAACAAUGAUAUCCAUCCUUUUCUAUUCCCUAUUGUAUCAUUCACAAUCAAGCCUACAACUUCGGUUGCCAUUCUGAGUGUUUUUGCUAGUCUAUUAUCUCUAUCCAACAUAUUUUUAAGGCCCUCGACAAUGUGAUGAUCUGUUGACUCCCUUGUAUCUUCUGAUGCUGACGCGUUAAUCUUGUUCUUACCUCAUUUGUAGGGUCAUAGGUGCAUAAUUGCACUUCUGGUAGUAGAGUUCUUAUUCUGAGGUAUUUUUGGCCAUUCAUUCCAAAUACAUAAGUUCCACGACCAUUGUUUAUUUUGGUGUCUACCUUUCCUCCCGUUGAUGUGAAAGCGGACAUGGACUUGUACAUCUGAAUAUUUUGCAUUUAGUGUUUCCUUGGCAAUUUGGAAUGGUUAUCCUGCGGCUCUCUCAAUAGUGGCAAUUCAACCUUGCCCUGUUGGUAGCAGUCUGAGACUGAAAGAUGGCAUGCUUCUUGCUCUACCUGAAGUUCUUUCUUCAUAGCAGAAUAUCGCAGCACAUACUCACUUGCAUCUUGGCUUUCUGACGUCCCAAGUUUCCAUAUCUGCCCUCUCCAAUGUCCUAUUCAAGUUUCCUAAUUCAGCAUCAAUUUAAAAUUCAUAAUGUCUAGUUGUUCUUUUUGGUACUGAAAAGAAAAUGAUAGAACUUACAAUUUGUUUUUUUCUAUAUCCUAAUUUUUAUGUUGUACACUUUGUGUUAUUUUUAAUCCUUUAGACACCCCUAAAAGAAAUACCAGGUUCAUGAAUGUCCAAAUUGUAGAACUGGAUUGAACUUUAUAGCUACUUACCUCUUAGUCAUACCAGCUUGACUGAUUAUUGAUUUUGAUCUGUGCAGAUGGUACUUACUGGAGGCUCGCUCGAUGGACCGAUGGCACAAUUGAGGAUAUUAGUGCACUUUCUUGUGAGAGUUCUUUUUCUUCUUUGAGGGAAAGCUAUCACGGUCGUGUAUAUUUAUUUGGUGUAAUAGUUGUUCGCACACGAACACGUCACGUGUACCCUCGACGCCGGGGGUGAUGCA